CGAGUAGGCGGUAGGGCAAGUCCGAGGUGGAAUCCUAUGGCUUAACCAUAGAAUUGCCUUGGAAACUGCUUUACUUGAGUCAGUGAGGGGAGGGCGGAAUUCCUGGUGUAGCGGUGAAAUGCGUAGAUAUCAGGAGGAAGGCCAGUGGCGAAGGCGGCCCUCUGGCACUGCACUGACGCUGAGGCGCGAAAGCGUGGGGAGCAAACAGGAUUAGAUACCCUGGUAGUCC
This 229-nucleotide ribosomal RNA is filed under the name uncultured bacterium. RNAcentral describes it as "partial 16S ribosomal RNA". It matches the Rfam family "Bacterial small subunit ribosomal RNA", at positions 568 to 796 of the family's 1533-position model. The record is from RNAcentral.